This 1839-nucleotide ribosomal RNA is filed under the name Triticum aestivum (bread wheat). Its description in RNAcentral is "partial small subunit ribosomal RNA". Lineage: Eukaryota; Viridiplantae; Streptophyta; Magnoliopsida; Poales; Poaceae. The record is from RNAcentral.
AUGUUGUUUUUAGCUUCUGAGGAGUUUUUGGAGCUAGUCAAAAGUGCUCUUCUGGCAGCUCUUGAAGCUCUUUCUCCAGGAUCAUUAUUUGGGAUUUUAACGUUUAGCAGCAAGAUAGGACUAUAUGAUGUUCAAGGUCCAAUACCAAUUGUGAAAAACGUUUUUAUCCCUCCUGAUUCUGACGGCACCUUGCACGUGGACCUUAAAGAUGUCAUGCCAUUUUGUUCAUUUUUGGCUCCUGUUGGCACUUUCAAAGACCGCAUUGCUGAAGCACUAGAAACAAUUAAACCAAUAGCUUCAUGGGAAAGGGCAACUACUGCAUCACAAGUUCAAGAUCACGCAUUGCAUCAUACCCGUGGGUUUGGGGUAGCAAUUGAUGCUCUUGUCAACUACCUAAGUGUGGAAAAUGGAACUACCUUUGAACUUGCUAGAAUAUUUGCGUUUUUAUCUGGGCCUCCGAAUUAUGGGGCUGGCCAACUGGACGCAAGAAGCAAUGGGGACCACAAUACUGGUAAAGUGGUGGAUUCAAAUAAUACAUUACUGCCCGAAGAGACAAGUUUCUACAAAAAUCUGGCUGCUAGUGCUGUUCAAGCAGGUGCAUGUGUGGACCUUUUCGCGAUUACAAAUGAAUACACUGAUCUUACUUCCCUAAAAGUUCUGAGUGUUGAGAGUGGUGGCUCAUUGUUUCUGUAUUCAAAUACAGAUGAAUCAACACUUCCACAAGAUAUAUACAAAAUGCUAAAGCGUCCAUAUGCCUUUGGAUGUGUACUGCGGUUGAGAACAUCUCCAGAGAUCAAGAUUGCUGAUUCUUAUGGUCAUUUCUUUCCAGAUCCUCAAUACAUGCAUGUUCAGCACAUAAAUUGCUGUGAUUCGUUUGCUAGCUACACUUACGACUUUGAGUUUGAAAAGGAUUCUCAGUUUGCCAGGAAGUCAAGGCCUCCUAUUCUCCAAAUCGCAUUUAAGUACACGAUGAUAGUACACCAUGGUGAUACAUCAGAUGAUGCUUCCAAUUCUGGUAGUAGAUCUAAGUUCUCAGUGCAAAGGCGGCUAAGGGUGCGGACUAUCCAGUACAACACAACUGCUAAUAUCUGGGACCUGUAUGACUUUGUUGACCCAGAUGUGGUAUUGACGAUACUUGUACACCAGGUUAUUUUGGCUUCUUUAAGUGAUGUGGUAGAAGCAAGGCUAUGGAUCCAUGAUUGGUUGGCGAUUUUCAUUGCCCAGUACAACAAGGCAUACAAGAACGUCAGACCUGCUGAUUCUGGAGUUUCUGAUAUUGACGUUGAUUUCUCAAACUGCUCACAAUUGCAGCCUCUGGCACAGCUUGUAUUUGCAUUUCUAGUAAGCCCAUUACUUCAAGUUCAGGAUGAACAUAUUCAUCCAGAUUACCAGACAUAUUUGCAGUGCCUCUUCAGUGCACUGGAACCGGCUUCUCUUCGGCAAGCUAUAUGUCCUACACUGAGUUCGUACUCCUCUCUUGAUACAGAAGCAGAAGUGCAUCAGUCUCUAAGUCGCAGUGUAUUCACCAGUGAGAGACCAAUAUUCCUUCUUGACGCCUACACUGACCUUUUGGUGUAUUACUUGCCUACAGCCAGCCCUUCAAUUCCCUUUCCUCCUCCACGUGACUGUCUGUUGAGAUCAACGGUCGAUAGGUUGAAGCAAGAAAGGACCUUAACUCCCAGGCUUGCUUUUAUUCAUGGUGCACGUGAUGAUACAACAACAUUUGAGAAAUACCUGAUUGAGGAUCGGGCUCUGGAUGGCACUCUGCUGGUUGGCUCUAUAGGUUUCAGAUCCUUCCUUGAGGAGGUUAGAAGCAGAGUAGCCGAGUUUGGAAUAUAG